CUCCUUUGACGUUAGCGGCGGACGGGUGAGUAACACGUGGGUAACCUACCUAUAAGACUGGGAUAACUUCGGGAAACCGGAGCUAAUACCGGAUAAUAUUUCGAACCGCAUGGUUCGAUAGUGAAAGGUGGUUUUGCUAUCACUUAUAGGUGGACCCGCGCCGUAUUAGCUAGUUGGUAAGGUAACGGCUUACCAAGGCGACGAUACGUAGCCGACCUGAGAGGGUGAUCGGCCACACUGGAACUGAGACACGGUCCAGACUCCUACGGGAGGCAGCAGCU
RNAcentral lists this ribosomal RNA (281 nucleotides) under uncultured Staphylococcus sp. RNAcentral's name for it is "partial 16S ribosomal RNA". It matches the Rfam family "Bacterial small subunit ribosomal RNA", at positions 81 to 355 of the family's 1533-position model. The record is from RNAcentral. Lineage: Bacteria; Bacillati; Bacillota; Bacilli; Caryophanales; Staphylococcaceae.